GCCUCUUCCCUCGUGGAAGGGUAGUGUUUAUUAGAUACAGAACCAACCCACCUUCGGGUGGUCCUCAGGUGAUUCAUAGUAACCGAACGGAUCGCAUUAUGGCCUUUUGGUCGGCGAUGGAUCAUUCAAGUUUCUGACCUAUCAGCUUUCGACGGUACUGUAUUGGACUACCGUGGCAGUGACGGGUAACGGGGAAUUAGGGUUCGAUUCCGGAGAGGGAGCCUGAGAAACGGCUACCACAUCUAAGGAAGGCAGCAGGCGCGCAAAUUACCCAAUCCUGACUCAGGGAGGUAGUGACAAGAAAUAACAACACUGGAAAUUAUAUUUCUAGUGAUUGGAAUGAUGGGAAUCCAAACCCCUUUCAGAGUAACAAUUGGAGGGCAAGUCUGGUGCCAGCAGCCGCGGUAAUUCCAGCUCCAAUAGCGUAUAUUAAAGUUGUUGCAGUUAAAAAGCUCGUAGUUGGAUAUCUGCUGGAAGCAGCCAGUCCGCCCUUUGUGGGUGUGCACUUGGUGAAUUCUGGCAUCCUCCUGAUUGGUGUUAUCAUCACUUCAUUGUGUUGAUGGCAGCUGUCAGGACCGUUACUUUGAGAAAAUUAGAGUGUUUCAAGCAGGCUUGUUGCCUUGAAUACUGCAGCAUGGAAUAACAAGAUAGGAUUUCGGUUCUAUUUUGUUGGUUUCUAGGACUGAAGUAAUGAUUAAUAGGGACAGUUGGGGGCAUUCGUAUUUAACUGUCAGAGGUGAAAUUCU
This 746-nucleotide ribosomal RNA is filed under the name Sarcocystis sp. RNAcentral describes it as "SSU rRNA". It matches the Rfam family "Eukaryotic small subunit ribosomal RNA", at positions 174 to 920 of the family's 1831-position model. Lineage: Eukaryota; Apicomplexa; Conoidasida; Eucoccidiorida; Sarcocystidae. The record is from RNAcentral.